AUGGCCACCGUGCUGGCCACAAUGGUGGCAUUCGUAGAUGCGAUCCCUCGAGCAAGACAACCGGAAGAUCGCGGCGGCCCUCAUGAGCCGGCACAUCACAUCGGAGGAGCCGUCAACUACGUCACCGUCGCAGAGGCCCUGCAGGUUAGCCCAUCGGCGCUGGCGGCAGGGCUGGCCGCCGACAACGUGAUCUGCGUGUUCUACUUCACCAUGUUCUUCGCGCUAGCCGCCAAGAUCCCGGCCGAAGAGGUUCUGCACUCCAAAGGAGAUAACGCCAACGGCGAGCCCGCUCCGGCUGCCGGUGCCAUCGGUGGCGAUGGGCUGCCGGUCCUGGAGAGUGCGACGGUGAUGGCCGUGUCGUUCGCGAUAUGCAAGGCGGGAAAACACGCAACAGCUCUGCUGAGCAUACAGGGCGGCAGCCUCCCCUACAUCACGGCGAUUGUGGUGGCGCUGGCGACGCUGUUCCCAUCACAUAUCGGCAGGCUCGCCCCCGCCGGCGAGGCCAUGGCCGUGGUCCCCAUAGGCAAGGUCAAAGACCACCACGCCAGAGCCGCAGGGAGGCUGUUGGGGAUCAAGAAGAAGCUACUGCUCAUCGCGUCCAACGCCAACGUCGGCGGCCUGACCACCGCCUGCGGGGUGGCCAUCGCCAAGGGCUGGGCCUCCUGGUGGUUCCUGGGAUCUUGGUAG
RNAcentral lists this ribosomal RNA (687 nucleotides) under Triticum aestivum (bread wheat). RNAcentral's name for it is "partial small subunit ribosomal RNA". The record is from RNAcentral. Lineage: Eukaryota; Viridiplantae; Streptophyta; Magnoliopsida; Poales; Poaceae.